RNAcentral lists this ribosomal RNA (1896 nucleotides) under Triticum aestivum (bread wheat). RNAcentral describes it as "partial small subunit ribosomal RNA". The record is from RNAcentral. Lineage: Eukaryota; Viridiplantae; Streptophyta; Magnoliopsida; Poales; Poaceae.
AUGGGGCUACUCAUUGAGCCUCUCUUACUCGCCAUCAUCUUCCUUGCAUGCUCUGCUGGUUCGGCCACUUCCAUGGCACCGGCUUCAUUGUCCACUUUUGAAACCUCCACCAGCAACACCACUGACCACCUCGCCCUUAUGUCAUUCAACUCGUUCAUAACGAGUGACCCGUCACAGGCCCUGGCGUCUUGGGGCACGGACAACCUGUCUGUUCCAUUGUGCCGAUGGCGCGACGUGACGUGCGGCAUGAGAGGACGCCGCCGCGCCCGCGUCGUGGCGUUGGACCUCCCCGAGCUUGGCCUUCAUGGCACCGUCGCUCCCGAACUUGGUAACCUCACCUACUUGAGGCGUCUCCAUCUCCCCGGGAACAACCUGCACGGCGUCCUACCGCCGGAGUUGGGUGGCCUUCCAGACCUCAGCCACCUGAACCUCUCCGACAACUCCUUCCAAGGGAGGAUUCCGGCGUCACUUUCGAACUGCACCCGUCUUGAGCGCCUUAUGCUCUUCAACAACAGCUUUCAAGGUGAUAUACCGCAGGAGCUCUGCUUGAUGCGUAAUCUCAAGGUACUCAAUCUUGGUAGAAACACCCUUACAGGAGGUAUACCGUCAGGAACUGGCGGUCUCGUGAACCUAAUAUUUCUCAACUUGGAAAUCAACAACCUUACUGGACAAAUCCCGCAGGAGAUAGGAAGUCUUGUUAAACUCGUUAAAGUUGGUCUAGGUCACAAUCUGCUGAGCGGCCCUAUCCCUGCCUCAUUUGGAAACCUUUCAUCCCUAUAUUUUCUUAGUUUAUAUUCAACUCAGCUAACAGGAAGCAUACCACCCCUCCAAAAUCUUUCAUCUCUCGAGGUCCUUGAGUUAAGCAAGAACUACCUCAAGGGAAGCAUCCCGGCUUGGUUGGGAAAUCUCUCAUCUCUUGGAUUUAUUUAUUUUGAUGGAAACCACCUCACAGGACACAUCCCAUCUUCAUUAGGUUACCUUCCGUUGCUCCACGUUCUUAGCAUUUCAAAUAACAACUUUUCAGGUCCCAUACCGCAAUCACUUGGAAACCUUGGUGCCUUAAUAGGCCUUCAUCUAGAUCACAAUGAACUGGAAGGCCCUUUUCCUCUUUCACUACUCAACAUUUCCAGUCUUGCGGUUCUAGACUUGCAAUAUAAUAAUCUUAGUGGAUCUAUCCCACAUAGCAUCGGCAAUAAGCUUCCAAAUAUACAACAACUUCUAACAAGUGUCAAUCAAUUUCAUGGAAUAAUUCCACCAUCCCUGUGCAAUGCCUCUAUGCUUCAAUGGAUCCAAGGAGUAAAUAACUUCUUUUCAGGAACUAUUCCAGAGUGUCUAGGAAUUCACCAAAAGGACUUGACAGUUGUGACUUUUGCAGAGAAUCAGCUUGAAACAAGUAAUGAUUAUGAUUGGGGCUUCAUAUAUAGCCUGACAAAUUGCAGUAGUUUGUUGUUAUUUGAUGUGGGAGACAACAAGCUAAGAGGUGAGCUACCAAAUAUUGUUGGAAAUCUUUCCACACAGCUGCAGUAUUUCGUCACCAAUAUGAACUACAUAACCGGAAAAAUAUCUGAAGGAAUAGGGAAUCUAGUUAACUUGGAAUUCAUUGAGAUGAACAACAAUCUUUUUGAGGGCACAAUUCCGGCCUCAUUUGGUAAACUCAAGAAGCUGAAUCAGUUAUACCUCACAAACAACAAUCUUUCAGGAACCAUUCCGUUAAGUUUCGGCAAUCUUCAAAUGCUAACUGUACUUAGUCUUGGAGGCAAUGCACUCACUGGACCGAUACCUCCCAAUCUAAGCAAUUGUCUUUGGAAAAGUUGGAUCUCGAUUCUAACCAUCUCACUGGUUCAGUACCUAAAGAAAUAUUUUCCAUCUCUACGUUGUCUGAUUAUCUGCAUUUAG